UAAUGAGUUUUGGAGCCUCCCCUGUUGUGAUGUGCCCCCACAAACCCUUACUCCCCACCGCAGUCUUUGUUGAGAUGAGAGAAUAAAGAGUUGAUAUAUUGAGAGGGGAAGAGAGUUGGAGCAGACAGUAACUUUGGAGUUUUACUGUGGUAACUUUAGUUUAACCACAGUAACUACUUGGGAAGUUAUCUGAUGGGAUGAGAAGGUAACUUAGUGAAGAGAAGAGAGUAAACUCGACCAAAGAGGAUAAGGAAGGAUAAGGGAGCAGUUUGACAGCCUGUAUGAUGCUGGAAAGGAGAGGAUGCUUUUCUACUAGU
This 317-nucleotide long non-coding RNA is filed under the name Brassica napus (rape). RNAcentral's name for it is "long non-coding RNA (BNAP_LNC001659)". The record is from RNAcentral. Lineage: Eukaryota; Viridiplantae; Streptophyta; Magnoliopsida; Brassicales; Brassicaceae.